Molecule: non-coding RNA, 502 nt
Organism: Drosophila bipectinata
Lineage: Eukaryota; Metazoa; Arthropoda; Insecta; Diptera; Drosophilidae
Source: RefSeq, a predicted model, not a curated record
UAAUUAAAAAUCAAAGAGAAACCCUUUGAAGAUUAAAUAUUUAGUUAAAUACUCAAUUAGAAGAAACUUUUCGAGAAAAACAAAACGAAAACGUGAACUUUUUCAUUUCCAAAAUAAAGGAGCCAAAGGAGCAAGAACGUUAUCCUGGCAGGAGCCUUUUCAAAAUAAGUUUUGGCUAAUGCUGGGCUUCCCUUUCCCGAGGACCUUCCCAGGCAACUCUCAACGUCCACUGGGCUAUUGAUAUCCGGAUAUGGCUGAAAGGCAUGAAGAGGAGGAGGUACAGGACUACAGGAUGGCAAAGGCUACAAAUCCCUCUUAGCGCAAAUGAGAACAUAUUAUGAGCGAUAUGGAAACGGACGGGCAUCCAUCCAGCCAUCCAUUCGAACAUUCGAGGGCAUCGAUGCGCGUUUUGCAAUCGUUGGCAGAAAUAAAUCGAUUAAAUCUUCUUUAAAAUUUUCAAACCCCAAAAAAAAAGUAAAAUAUUUGUACAUAUAUGCCAGAA